This 130-nucleotide small nucleolar RNA is filed under the name Dasypus novemcinctus (nine-banded armadillo). The record is from RNAcentral. Lineage: Eukaryota; Metazoa; Chordata; Mammalia; Cingulata; Dasypodidae.
UCUCCUCCCAUGAACCCCGGCUGCGCGUGCGCGUGGCUCCGGGGGGUUCUGCUGCAGCGCCAGAGCAUGUGGUUGCAUGUAACUGGAACGACCGACCCACUGGCAGCACCUUUAACCGCGCGUGACCAGG